UUGAACGCUGGCGGCAUGCCUUACACAUGCAAGUCGAACGGUAGAGUAGCAAUACUCGAGAGUGGCGAACGGGUGAGUAAUAUAUCGGAACGUGCCCAGUCGUGGGGGAUAACGUAGAGAAAUUUACGCUAAUACCGCAUACGAUCUAAGGAUGAAAGCGGGGGACUCGCAAGGGCCUCGCGCGAUUGGAGCGGCUGAUAUCAGAUUAGGUAGUUGGUGGGAUAAAAGCUUACCAAGCCGACGAUCUGUAGCUGGUCUGAGAGGACGACCAGCCACACUGGGACUGAGACACGGCCCAGACUCCUACGGGAGGCAGCAGUGGGGAAUUUUGGACAAUGGGCGAAAGCCUGAUCCAGCCAUGCCGCGUGCAGGAUGAAGGCCUUCGGGUUGUAAACUGCUUUUGUACGGAACGAAAAAGUCUUCUCUAAUACAGGGGGCGAAUGACGGUACCGUAAGAAUAAGCACCGGCUAACUACGU
This 478-nucleotide ribosomal RNA is filed under the name uncultured bacterium. RNAcentral's name for it is "bacterial SSU rRNA". It matches the Rfam family "Bacterial small subunit ribosomal RNA", at positions 30 to 506 of the family's 1533-position model. The record is from RNAcentral.